GAGGGAGCAUUAUAUUAAUUUGAAUAGUGAAUCUACUGAACAUGAGCAGAUGGGAAUUCCAAGGUCAACAGAGGCAACGUAUGACAAUUUGUUGGAGCAUUAUGUGGCACAAGCUGCUCAUAAAAUAACCUUUUUGCUGAUGAAAAUAGUACAAAAGAUGCACAUGCUGAGUCUCCUAUAAAUUGGUAUAAGUCUUCAUUAGAAUGAUCAGUAAUUUAAAAACAAUACUUAAUUCAAUACACCUAAAAGUGCAAAGAACAAAGUAGAAACAAAUAAUCAAGGAAGAGAACUCCUAGGAGAAAACACUUAUUUUGAGGGAAUCACAAGGGAACUACAAUAACAAGAACAGAUAACAAAUUUCUACCUAGACUAUUCCCUCCAUAUCAUAGUAAGGCUAGUGACUCCAUGAGAUUGUAUUCUAUAUAAACCCUUUGCAAAAAUAUGAAAAAAUGUUCAAAAUAACCACGUCGACAUCACAUGCACACACAUAGACAGUGAAAAACUCACCUCACUAUCCAAACACCUUUAGAAAGAAUAGAAUGGCCACUGGAGCAGCUGCAAUGAUGCUUCAGUGUGUCUUUGACGGAAGCUUGUCCAUGUCAGAUAUGGAUAUCGAGAGAUGACCUUGCCAUAAAAACUGCAGUUGUGCAUUGCACAAACAGAAGGGCCGGGGAUAUAUCACAGCCAAGCACUUGUGUCCAUAGUAGGAAUAUAUCAUUCCCCAAAAGGCAAAUCUGGAAAGAUAUGAUUUUGUCAAUAGAAACUCCCAAAUUCACUUCUCCAUCUUCAUCGUCUUGAGAUAAUUAAUCAGUUGGGAGUGUACAGCAUACAGCUCCAAUGUUAGCUAGUAGUUGAUAGAUUUUCCUUUGUACAUUCUGGUAAGUACAUGUAUACUUCAGUAUCCGCUUCAUAGGUGAUGCAAAUUUACAAAAGAAAGAAAUGCAACUUGUUUUCUUUCUUUCCAGGAUUCAAAAGAUUUUAACUUUAGCGAACACUGAGAAUGCAGCAUUUGAAUUCACAUUGUACACGUUCGUUAGUAGAAUUAGUUUUUGUUCACUAACAGAGUUUGUACACUGAUUCUAAACUUACCAUCACUUCAUCUUUCACAUUCUUUUCUUCUGUCCUGUUAGGCUCCCAUAGUCCCCGAAAUUAGUCCACUGGUUUGUUAUUUACACUUCUCUCAUCCUCAUUGUUUAACAAAUUCUGUUCCUCGUAGUCUAUUAAAUUUCGUUAUUUCACUAAGACAAAUGGUUUGUUCAUAGUUCAUUCUGCGUCAUCAGUAAAGUCAAAGGGAAUAAUGUCGGAAUGGCCUACUUCUAUGUCUUUUCUGAACUUACAUUGCCAUUCACAAUAUACAAGGAAAUACUUUGUAAGCCUUUUCUAAAUCAUCUGUCACUUUCACCAGAUCUGUUUACUACUCAUCCAAAUGGAUUUGUAACGUGUUUUCAACUGCUCUUUAAAUAUAUGCAAGGGUUAAUACCAAAAGCAUCCAAGAUAGAGAAAUCAAAAAAGCAACUCAGUGCACUAAGCUUCUACUGAGUAGGGUCACAGUCUUACCUUGCAUUUCUGCAAAGAGGUUAUCUCCACAGCUCGAACCCAUGACCUCACAUAGCAGUAACUUUACCAAUUACGCCAAGCUCCCCUUCUCAAGAUGGAAAAGCUAUGUCAAUAUUUGCACAAAAGUCUUAUCAUUCAGGGUCUACAGCCAUCAAUAAUGCAGUUGAACUUGUAUGGAAACCCCACCACUUGAAGGGCCAGAGAAGGUUUGUAAUUUUGGUAUAUUUUGUAUAUCUUUAGUUUAAGACCGCAAGAUUCAAAAGUCUUCUUUAAUUUCUUGAAUUUCGUGCCAAAUCAAAACCAGACAA
This 1865-nucleotide long non-coding RNA is filed under the name Solanum tuberosum (potato). Its description in RNAcentral is "long non-coding RNA (STUB_LNC006985)". The record is from RNAcentral. Lineage: Eukaryota; Viridiplantae; Streptophyta; Magnoliopsida; Solanales; Solanaceae.